RNAcentral lists this ribosomal RNA (253 nucleotides) under uncultured bacterium. Its description in RNAcentral is "partial 16S ribosomal RNA". It matches the Rfam family "Bacterial small subunit ribosomal RNA", at positions 524 to 776 of the family's 1533-position model. The record is from RNAcentral.
UACAGAGGUCUCAAGCGUUGUUCGGAUUCAUUGGGCGUAAAGGGUGCGUAGGCGGCGGGGCAAGUCUGAUGUGAAAUCCUGGGGCUCAACCCCAGAACUGCAUUGGAUACUGCCUUGCUAGAGUACUGGAGAGGGAACUGGAAUUUACGGUGUAGCAGUGAAAUGCGUAGAGAUCGUAAGGAAGGCCAGUGGCGAAGGCGAGUUCCUGGACAGUAACUGACGCUGAGGCACGAAGGCCAGGGGAGCAAACGGG